Long non-coding RNA from Oreochromis aureus, 372 nucleotides. RefSeq lists it as uncharacterized. The transcript has 4 exons. The record is from RefSeq and is a predicted model, not a curated record. Lineage: Eukaryota; Metazoa; Chordata; Actinopteri; Cichliformes; Cichlidae.
AUAAUUACAAUCAUGAUGUUGAUUGCUGAUGUCAGUAUAUAUAUUUUAGAGGAAUGUUUUGUUUUUCACCCAAAAUGAACUAUAUUGCUUCAGAAGAGAUUUAUUACUCUGCCUGACUCUUAUAUAUUGUUCUGUUUUUUGUUUGUUUUUGUUAUUUUCAGGUUCAAUGGUGCGUGUUCUUCUAAUGGCCGCCUUCCCACUGGAAGUUUUGAUCCACAGCAAUUUAAAAGGAGCACAGAUCAAAACGGACAUCGGCGCAGAGUGAAGAACUGCCCUUCAUAAGGACACUAUGACAGCCAUAUAUAUGGCGGUAAGGAAGAGGUUUCCCAAUGUGUCCAGAAGGGCUUUGAGGAUUGCAGUGAAAGCUGGGGA